Molecule: long non-coding RNA, 316 nt
Filed under: Mytilus galloprovincialis (Mediterranean mussel)
Lineage: Eukaryota; Metazoa; Mollusca; Bivalvia; Mytilida; Mytilidae
Source: RNAcentral
UGAGGUCGCGGUAUGAGCGGCAUGAAAAUGUAAAUUUUCGUUGCUUUCACAAUGCUACUACGUCCUCGUUACGCGUCUACAACGACUCCGCUACGAUUAUACCACGUUCUCACCGCGCUUAUUCUGCGACCUCACUACGCUUAACAAGAUCUUUCUACGCUCUUCACGUUCUCACUACGACCAUACCACGAGUUAUCCGAUUGCAACACGAUCUUACCACGCUUCUACUGCGAUUAUAGCACGUUCUUACCACGAUUAUAUUACGUUCAUACCGCGAUCUUACUAUGUUCUCAGCAAUAACGUCAACAUCGUGUUC